Molecule: ribosomal RNA, 949 nt
Filed under: uncultured bacterium
Lineage: Bacteria
Description: bacterial SSU rRNA
Rfam family: Bacterial small subunit ribosomal RNA
Source: RNAcentral
AGAGUUUGAUUCGGGCUCAGGAUGAACGCUGGCGGCGUGCUUAACACAUGCAAGUCGAACGGUGAAGCAGAGCUUGCUCUGUGGAUCAGUGGCGAACGGGUGAGUAACACGUGAGCAACCUGCCCCGGACUCUGGGAUAAGCGCUGGAAACGGCGUCUAAUACUGGAUAUGAGAAGCGACCGCAUGGUCAGUUUCUGGAAAGAUUUUUCGGUCUGGGAUGGGCUCGCGGCCUAUCAGCUUGUUGGUGAGGUAAUGGCUCACCAAGGCGUCGACGGGUAGCCGGCCUGAGAGGGUGACCGGCCACACUGGGACUGAGACACGGCCCAGACUCCUACGGGAGGCAGCAGUGGGGAAUAUUGCACAAUGGGCGGAAGCCUGAUGCAGCAACGCCGCGUGAGGGAUGACGGCCUUCGGGUUGUAAACCUCUUUUAGCAGGGAAGAAGCGAAAGUGACGGUACCUGCAGAAAAAGCGCCGGCUAACUACGUGCCAGCAGCCGCGGUAAUACGUAGGGCGCAAGCGUUAUCCGGAAUUAUUGGGCGUAAAGAGCUCGUAGGCGGUUUGUCGCGUCUGCUGUGAAAUCUGGGGGCUCAACCCCCAGCCUGCAGUGGGUACGGGCAGACUAGAGUGCGGUAGGGGAGAUUGGAAUUCCUGGUGUAGCGGUGGAAUGCGCAGAUAUCAGGAGGAACACCGAUGGCGAAGGCAGAUCUCUGGGCCGUAACUGACGCUGAGGAGCGAAAGGGUGGGGAGCAAACAGGCUUAGAUACCCUGGUAGUCCACCCCGUAAACGUUGGGAACUAGUUGUGGGGUCCUUUCCACGGAUUCCGUGACGCAGCUAACGCAUUAAGUUCCCCGCCUGGGGAGUACGGCCGCAAGGCUAAAACUCAAAGGAAUUGACGGGGACCCGCACAGCGGCGGAGCAUGCGGAUUAAUUCGAUGCAACGCGAAGAC